CUCAACUCAAACCCAAAAUCAACACCAACCACCGCCACCUCCCAUUUUUGGAAACUUCUAAUUCUCGAUUCUGUAUUCAAUGAUUUUUCCGUAAAACCUGUCCAAAUUAAUUACUUUCCUUUGGUAUACUCUCUCUCUCUCUCUCUCUCUCUCUGCCCACCAACCAUUAAUCAGUUUCUAUACAGACGCAGAUCUACUCACCGUCUUCAUCCAUUCUUCUGAAUUGUUAAGGUUAGAUCCCUGAUUUUUUCCUUUUCCCCCCAUUCUUUUUUUACUUCUAAUUUGUUUAGUUUUCUUAAUGGUAUUUGAGUGACAGUUAGCAUGUUUAAUUGAUUUAAUUCAAGAGUUGUGGAUUCAUUCUGGCAAAGGCCCUUAUUUACCCAGUUUUCAAUUUCAUUUCUAAUCAAAUGCAGAUGAAGGAAAAGAGGGCUUUCGUUUUUAACAUAUUACAAAUUUUUAAUACUUUUUUUGCUGGUUGAUUCUUGACUUCGGUUUUUCCACGUUGGGAACAAAUUGCAGGUAACUUGUGAAAGUUGAAGAAUCAAUGGCGUUUACUAUGAAACAAACGCCUUUAACAGUAGCAACAUUGGGUUUGCUAUCCUUCAUUCUCUAACUUUUAGCAGUGGUGGUGGCGAUAGUUGGUGUGGAUUUUAGGUUUGAGUUGUGGGUGGGGGUGGGUGAGAGAAAGAAAACAGGCG
Molecule: long non-coding RNA, 698 nt
Filed under: Olea europaea (common olive)
Lineage: Eukaryota; Viridiplantae; Streptophyta; Magnoliopsida; Lamiales; Oleaceae
Description: long non-coding RNA (OEUR_LNC014918)
Source: RNAcentral